AACUUUUUUAAUCAUAAAGUUUGACCUCAAAUCAGGUAGGACUACCCGCUGAACUUAAGCAUAUCAAUAAGCGGAGGAAAAGAAACCAACAGGGAUUGCCUUAGUAGCGGCGAGUGAAGCGGCAAGAGCUCAAAUUUGAAAUCUGGUACCUUCGGUGCCCGAGUUGUAAUUUGAAGAAAGCUAUCUUGGAUUUGGCCUUUGUCUAUGUUCCUUGGAACAGGACGUCACAGAGGGUGAGAAUCCCGUGCGAUGAGGUGACCAUUUCUAUGUAAGAUGUUUUCGACGAGUCGAGUUGUUUGGGAAUGCAGCUCUAAGUGGGUGGUAAAUUCCAUCUAAAGCUAAAUAUUGGCGAGAGACCGAUAGCGAACAAGUACAGUGAUGGAAAGAUGAAAAGAACUUUGAAAAGAGAGUGAAAAAGUACGUGAAAUUGUUGAAAGGGAAGGGUAUUAGAUCAGACUUGGUAUUUAGUUAUCAUUGCUCCUUGUGGGUGGUGCUCUAGCUUUUUACUGGGCCAGCAUCAGUUUUGGUGGCAAGAUAAUGACAUUUGAACGUAGCUCUUCGGAGUGUUAUAGCUUUUGUUGAUAUUGCCUACUGGGACUGAGGUCUGCGGCUUUUGCCUAGGAUGCUGGCGA
This 632-nucleotide ribosomal RNA is filed under the name Ogataea salicorniae. RNAcentral describes it as "LSU rRNA". It matches the Rfam family "Eukaryotic large subunit ribosomal RNA", at positions 1 to 632 of the family's 3401-position model. Lineage: Eukaryota; Fungi; Ascomycota; Pichiomycetes; Pichiales; Pichiaceae. The record is from RNAcentral.